GACGAACGCUGGCGGCGUGCUUAACACAUGCAAGUCGAACGGAAAGGCCCUGCUUUUGUGGGGUGCUCGAGUGGCGAACGGGUGAGUAACACGUGAGUAACCUGCCCUUGACUUUGGGAUAACUUCAGGAAACUGGGGCUAAUACCGGCUAGGAGCUCCUGCUGCUUGGUGGGGGUUGGAAAGUUUCGGCGGUUGGGGAUGGACUCGCGGCUUAUGAGCUUGUUGGUGGGGUAGUGUCUUACCAAGGCCUUGACGGGUAGCCGGGCUGGGAGGGUGACCGGCCACAUUAGGACUGAGAUGCGGCACAGACUCCUACGGGAGGGAGGAGUAGGGAAUAGUGCACAAUGGGCGGAAGCCUGAUGCAGCCACGCCGCGUGCGGGAUGACAGCCUUCGGGUUGUAAACCGAUUUCGCCUGUGACGAAGCGUGAGUGACGGUAAUGGGUAAAGAAGCACCGGCUAACUACGUG
Molecule: ribosomal RNA, 468 nt
Filed under: uncultured bacterium
Lineage: Bacteria
Description: partial 16S ribosomal RNA
Rfam family: Bacterial small subunit ribosomal RNA
Source: RNAcentral